RNAcentral lists this ribosomal RNA (59 nucleotides) under Solanum arcanum. The record is from RNAcentral. Lineage: Eukaryota; Viridiplantae; Streptophyta; Magnoliopsida; Solanales; Solanaceae.
UUGGGCGAGAGUAGUACUAGGAUGGGUGGCCCCCUGGGAAGUCCUCGUGUUGCAUCCCU